GAGGGUGUAGUUUAGGGGUAGAGUGCGUGCCUAGCAUGCAUGAGGUCUUGGGGUCAAUCCCCAGUACCUCCA
RNAcentral lists this transfer RNA (72 nucleotides) under Camelus bactrianus (Bactrian camel). It matches the Rfam family "tRNA". Rfam says of the family: Transfer RNA (tRNA) molecules are approximately 80 nucleotides in length. Their secondary structure includes four short double-helical elements and three loops (D, anti-codon, and T loops). Lineage: Eukaryota; Metazoa; Chordata; Mammalia; Artiodactyla; Camelidae. RNAcentral also lists the same sequence under 2 other names. The record is from Rfam by way of RNAcentral.